GUGUCAGCCGCCGCGGUAAGACAGAGGGUGCAAACGUUGUUCGGAAUUACUGGGCGUAAAGCGCGUGUAGGCUGCUCGGAAAGUCAGGUGUGAAAGCCCUGGGCUCAACCUAGGAAGUGCACUUGAAACUUCCGAGCUGGAGAUCUGGAGAGGAAGGCGGAAUUCUCGGUGUAGAGGUGAAAUUCGUAGAUAUCGAGAGGAACACCGGUGGCGAAGGCGGCCUUCUGGACAGCAUCUGACGCUGAGACGCGAAAGCGUGGGGAGCAAACAGGAUUAGAAACCCCUGUAGUCC
RNAcentral lists this ribosomal RNA (292 nucleotides) under uncultured bacterium. RNAcentral describes it as "partial 16S ribosomal RNA". It matches the Rfam family "Bacterial small subunit ribosomal RNA", at positions 505 to 796 of the family's 1533-position model. The record is from RNAcentral.